AGAGACCCAGAGCGCGACAAGUAGAGUGAUAGAAAGAUGAAAAGCACUUUGGCAAGAGAGUUAGACAGUACGUGAAAUUGUGGAAAGGGAAGCGGGGCAACCAGCAACCAGACUGUUGAUCGGCUAGGGUUCUGUCUUCUGCACUCGGCACUGCGCAGGCCAGCAUCGGUUUGGGUGGUGGGAGAAUGGAUGAGGGAAUGUGACUGUAUUUCCGCAGGGUGAUAGCCACCGUUGGCAUACAGCCUCCCCGCCGGGAGGGCCGCGCUUUUGGUAGGAUGCGGGGGUAAUGGUGGUCAGCGACCCCUCUCGAAACACGGACCACGGAGUGUAACAUAUAUGCGAGUGUUUGGGGGUUACACCCCCACGCGGAAAGAAAAAGAAAGUAGGGGAGAACCCGCAAGGGUGCAUCAUCGACCGAUCCUGAUGUCUUCGGAUGGAUUUGAGUAAGAGCAUAGCUGUUGGGACCCGAAAGAUGGUGAACUAUGCCUGAAUAGGGUGAAGCCAGAGGAAACUCUGGUGGAGGCUCGCAGCGGUUCUGACGUGCAAAUCGA
This 551-nucleotide ribosomal RNA is filed under the name Podosphaera xanthii. Its description in RNAcentral is "partial large subunit ribosomal RNA". It matches the Rfam family "Eukaryotic large subunit ribosomal RNA", at positions 329 to 901 of the family's 3401-position model. Lineage: Eukaryota; Fungi; Ascomycota; Leotiomycetes; Helotiales; Erysiphaceae. The record is from RNAcentral.